This 405-nucleotide long non-coding RNA is filed under the name Salmo salar (Atlantic salmon). RNAcentral describes it as "lncRNA (ENSSSAG00000088385.1)". The record is from RNAcentral. Lineage: Eukaryota; Metazoa; Chordata; Actinopteri; Salmoniformes; Salmonidae.
GGGUGAACAGGCAGUGGCUCGAGUGGUUGAUGUCCUUGAUGAUCUUUUUGGCUUUCCAGUGACAUCGGGUGCACCCGGUAAUAUGUUGGGCUUACCUCACCACCCUCUGGAGAGUCUUGCGGUUGCGGGCAGUGCAAUUUAGGGUGGAGUCACAUUCUGGCAGAAUAAAAAAUGGGGGGUCCCCGCUGGAAAAGUCUGAAUACCACUGAUAGUGGCUAUGGAGGUGGUGGAACUGGUUAUUUUGGAGGUGGUGGAACUGGUUAUUUUGGAGGUGGUGUAACUGGUUAUUUUGGAGGUGGUGGAACUUGUUAUUUUGGAGGUGGUGGAAGUGGUUAUUUUGGAGGUGGUGGAACUGGUUAUUUUGGAGGUGGUUGAACUGGUUAUUUUGGAGGUGGUGGAACUGGU